This 397-nucleotide ribosomal RNA is filed under the name uncultured bacterium. RNAcentral's name for it is "partial 16S ribosomal RNA". It matches the Rfam family "Bacterial small subunit ribosomal RNA", at positions 523 to 918 of the family's 1533-position model. The record is from RNAcentral.
AUACGUAGGGGGCGAGCGUUGUCCGGAAUGAUUGGGCGUAAAGGGCGCGUAGGCGGCCUGGUAAGUCUGGAGUGAAAGACCUGUUUUCAAGAUGGGAAUUGCUUUGGAUACUGAUGGGCUUGAGUGCAGGAGAGGUUAUCGGAAUUCCCGGUGUAGCGGUGAAAUGCGUAGAGAUCGGGAGGAACACCAGUGGCGAAGGCGGGUAACUGGACUGCAACUGACUCUGAGGCGCGAAAGUGUGGGGAGCAAACAGGAUUAGAUACCCUGGUAGUCCACACUGUAAACGAUGAAUGCUAGGUGUAAGAGGUAUCGACCCCUUUUGUGCCGGAGUUAACACAAUAAGCAUUCCGCCUGGGGAGUACGGCCGCAAGGUUGAAACUCAAAUGAAUUGACGGGG